RNAcentral lists this ribosomal RNA (252 nucleotides) under uncultured bacterium. RNAcentral describes it as "partial 16S ribosomal RNA". It matches the Rfam family "Bacterial small subunit ribosomal RNA", at positions 524 to 776 of the family's 1533-position model. The record is from RNAcentral.
UACGGGGGGGGCAAGCGUUGUUCGGAAUUACUGGGCGUAAGGGCUCGUAGGCGGCCAACUAAGUCGGACGUGAAAUCCCUCGGCUCAACCGGGGAACUGCGUCCGAUACUGGUGGGCUCGAAUCCGGGAGAGGGAUGUGGAAUUCCAGGUGUAGCGGUGAAAUGCGUAGAUAUCUGGAGGAACACCGGUGGCGAAGGCGGCAUCCUGGACCGGUAUUGACGCUGAUGCGCGAAAGCCAGGGGAGCAAACGGG